Nilaparvata lugens (brown planthopper) is the source of this 322-nucleotide long non-coding RNA. RefSeq lists it as uncharacterized. The transcript is spliced from 3 exons. The record is from RefSeq and is a predicted model, not a curated record. Lineage: Eukaryota; Metazoa; Arthropoda; Insecta; Hemiptera; Delphacidae.
GCAGUACUUGCACUUGAAGAUCUAUUCAGAAGCUGAAUACUACAAACUGGAAAAAGACGGCUAUGAAAGGCAAUAAUGAUGGAGACUCACUGAAUGAUCCCUGGUAUGGCAGCAACAACAGUCCAUUUUCAACGUACAACAGUUGAGAUUGAUCAACUGGUGUGGGGGCGCUUGGGGCGACUGCCUUUUUGGCCAGCUGUACCUAAUUACUCCGGAUGAAGAUGGAAAUUUUCACAAACUGAUCGCAGGUGGUCGAGUGAAUAAAUUGGCAGUCACGUGGCUGAACGAAGGGGGGGGGAGGCUGGAGCUGGCUGGGGGCAUC